RNAcentral lists this ribosomal RNA (990 nucleotides) under Triticum aestivum (bread wheat). RNAcentral's name for it is "partial small subunit ribosomal RNA". Lineage: Eukaryota; Viridiplantae; Streptophyta; Magnoliopsida; Poales; Poaceae. The record is from RNAcentral.
AUGACCGCCGGCUCCCGACGGAGGCGGCCGACCUCCUCAAUGGCGCCUAUCGCCCUGUCCGUACCCGCCCCCAACGCUUCCCCGGCGCCGCGGCGCCUCCGCCGCCCGGCCAUCGCGGCCGCCGGCGCCGCGCUCGCGGCGCUCCUCCUCCUCGCGGCGGCCGCCGCCGUCUGGCGCCCGGACUACCUCCCCGCCGCGCUCCUCCGCCGCCCCGCGCCCGCCGCCGCCAGGUUCUACUCCUUCGACCUUGUCCGCGAGUACCCCCACGAUCCCGAGGCCUUCACCCAGGGUCUCCUGUACGCGGGAAACGACACUCUCUUCGAGUCCACUGGCCUUUAUCACCAGUCGUCGGUCCGAAAGGUUGAUCUUCAAACUGGCAAAGUUUUAGAUCAGCACCAAAUGGAUGGACAUAUGUUUGGAGAAGGCCUAACACUUCUCGACGACAGAUUGUUUCAAGUUACUUGGUUGAAGAAUGAUGGAUUCAUAUACGACCGACAUAACUUUAGCAAACGUGAAAGUUUUACCCAUAAAAUGCGUGACGGGUGGGGGUUGGCUACAGAUGGAAAAAUCCUAUUUGGCAGUGAUGGUACUUCAAAGUUGUACCAGCUGGAUCCAAUAUCACUUGAAGUAACGAAGACAGUAACUGUGAAAUAUCAAGACAAUGACGUUUCCUAUAUUAAUGAACUGGAAUAUAUAAAUGGUGAAGUAUGGGCAAAUGUCUGGCAGACAGAUUGCAUAGCUAGAGUUUCGCAUGAAGAUGGCCAAGUGGCGAGCUGGAUCCUUCUUCAUGAGCUGAGGCAGCAGUUGUGGAAUUCUGGCAACACGGAAAUUGAUGUUUUGAACGGCAUAGCUUGGGACGAAGAAAAUGACAGACUGUUCGUGACCGGGAAACUGUGGCCAAAGCUUUACGAGAUCAAGUUGCGUCCGGUGGAUGGGCCACCGGAUGGGUCCGUGGAGAAACUGUGCCCAAGGGCAAGCUUUUAUCGCUGA